ACGCACGCUGGCGGCGUGCUUCACACCUGCCAGUCGCACGCUGAAGCACCAGCUUGCUGGUGUGGAUGAGUGGCGAACGGGUGAGUAAUACGUGAGUAACCUGCCCUUGACUCUGGGAUAAGCCCGGGAAACUGGGUCUAAUACUGGAUGCUACAUGUCACCGCAUGGUGGUGUGUGGAAAGGGUUUACUGGUCUUGGAUGGGCUCACGGCCUAUCAGCUUGUUGGUGAGGUAAUGGCUCACCAAGGCGACGACGGGUAGCCGGCCUGGGGGGGUGACCGGCCACCCUGGGACUGAGGCACGGCCCAGACUCCUACGGGAGGCAGCAGUGGGGAAUAUUGCACAAGGGGCGAAAGCCUGAUGCAGCGGCGCCGCGUGCGGGAUGACGGCCUUCGGGUUGUAAACCUCUUUCAGCAGGGAAGAAGCCACAAGUGACGGUACCUGCAGAAGAAGCGCCGGCUAACUACGUG
RNAcentral lists this ribosomal RNA (469 nucleotides) under uncultured bacterium. RNAcentral describes it as "partial 16S ribosomal RNA". It matches the Rfam family "Bacterial small subunit ribosomal RNA", at positions 29 to 507 of the family's 1533-position model. The record is from RNAcentral.